GAAUAAAAUUUCAUUCAUUUCUACUCUUAAAAAUUGGUGUGACUGAUAGAUUAACCAAACAAUUAUACGUAACAUGCCACUUGUACUUCACUCUAACAUAUAGGGGCCAGUUUUUAAUAGUAGAAAUGGAUGGUUUUUAUUA
Molecule: non-coding RNA, 142 nt
Organism: Gossypium hirsutum (cotton)
Lineage: Eukaryota; Viridiplantae; Streptophyta; Magnoliopsida; Malvales; Malvaceae
Source: Rfam